GCGUCCGUAGCCUGUUCUAUAAGUUUCCGGUUAAAUCCACUAGCUCAACUAAUGGGCUGCCGAAAAUACUGUAGAACUAGGGAGUGGGAGAGGUAGACGGUAUUCGGUAGGAAGGGGUAAAAUCCUUUGAUCUAUUGAGGACCACCUGUGGCGAAGGCGGUCUACCAGAACACGUUCGACGGUGAGGGAUGAAAGCUGGGGGAGCAAACCGGAUUAGAUACCCGGGUAGUCCCAGCUGUAAACGAUGCAGACUCGGUGAUGCGCUGGCUUGUGGCCAGUGCAGUGCCGCAGGGAAGCCGUUAAGUUUGCCGCCUGGGAAGUACGUACGCAAGUAUGAAACUUAAAGGAAUUGGCGGGGGAGCACCACAAGGGGUGAAGCCUGCGGUUCAAUUGGAGUCAACGCCAGAAAUCUUACCCGAAGAGACAGCAGAAUGAAGGUCAAGCUGGAGACUUUACCAGACAAGCUGAGAAGUGGUGCAUGGCCGUCGCCAGCUCGUGCCGUGAGAUGUCCUGUUAAGUCAGGUAACGAGCGAGAUCCCUGCCUCUAGUUGCCACCAUUACUCUCAGGAGUAGUGGGGCGAAUUAGCGGGACCGCCGCAGUUAAUGCGGAGGAAGGAAGGGGCCACGGCAGGUCAGUAUGCCCCGAA
This 647-nucleotide ribosomal RNA is filed under the name uncultured archaeon. Its description in RNAcentral is "bacterial SSU rRNA". It matches the Rfam family "Archaeal small subunit ribosomal RNA", at positions 515 to 1160 of the family's 1478-position model. The record is from RNAcentral.